CCUACGGGGUGCAGCAGUAGGGAAUAUUGCUCAAUGGGGGAAACCCUGAAGCAGCAACGCCGCGUGGAGGAUGAAGGUUUUCGGAUUGUAAACUCCUUUUGUUAGAGAAGAUAAUGACGGUAUCUAACGAAUAAGCACCGGCUAACUCCGUGCCAGCAGCCGCGGUAAUACGGAGGGUGCAAGCGUUACUCGGAAUCACUGGGCGUAAAGAGGGCGUAGGCGGGAUAGCAAGUCAGAUGUGAAAUCCUUUGGCUUAACCAUAGAACUGCAUUUGAAACUGUUAUUCUAGAGUAUGGGAGAGGUAGGUGGAAUUCUUGGUGUAGGGGUAAAAUCCGUAGAGAUCAAGAGGAAUACUCAUUGCGAAGGCGACCUGCUAGAACAUAACUGACGCUGAGGCGCGAAAGCGUGGGGAGCAAACAGGAUUAGAUACCCUAGUAGUC
This 440-nucleotide ribosomal RNA is filed under the name uncultured bacterium. RNAcentral's name for it is "partial 16S ribosomal RNA". It matches the Rfam family "Bacterial small subunit ribosomal RNA", at positions 338 to 795 of the family's 1533-position model. The record is from RNAcentral.